UCUAGCUGGUUCUUGGGUCAAUGGACCAUGAGAACUGACUAAUCCCAGGACGAGGGGAAGCCAUGUGAAAACCUCUAACACUCACACAUUUGUGGAGUAGUUUUUAGGGUAGAUCAAACUUUGGAUAGCUCAUUACAACUUUUUUUAGUCUGAUCACUACCACUAGACCAAGCUUGUGUGGGCAAAAAGACUUCGUUCUCAAGGGCGGACCUAGUAAAGAAGAAGGGGGUCACUUGACCCAAGUUGAAUA
Molecule: long non-coding RNA, 250 nt
Organism: Arabidopsis thaliana (thale cress)
Lineage: Eukaryota; Viridiplantae; Streptophyta; Magnoliopsida; Brassicales; Brassicaceae
Product: other RNA
Exons: 1
Source: RefSeq